GACGAACGCUGGCGGCGUGCUUAACACAUGCAAGUCGAACGGAAAGGCGCUGCUUUUGUGGGGUGCUCGAGUGGCGAACGGGUGAGUAACACGUGAGUAACCUGCCCUUGACUUUGUGGUAACUUCAGGGAACUGGGGCUCAUACCGGGUAGGAGCUCCUGCUGCAUGGUGGGGGUUGGAAAGUUUCGGCGGUUGGGGAUGGAUUCGCGGCUUAUCAGCUUGUUGGGGGGGUAGUGGCUUACCAAGGCUUUGACGGGUAGCCGGCCUGAGAGGGUGGCCGGCCACAUGGGGACUGAGAGACGGCCCAGUAGCGUACGGGAGGCAGUAGUGGGGAAUAUUACACAAUGGGGGGGAGCCUGAUGCAGCAACGCCGCGUGCGGGAUACCGGCCUUCGGGUUGUAAACCGCUUUCUCCUGUGACGAAGAGUGAGUGACGGUAAUUGGUAAAGAAGCACCGGCUAACUACGUG
Molecule: ribosomal RNA, 468 nt
Filed under: uncultured bacterium
Lineage: Bacteria
Description: partial 16S ribosomal RNA
Rfam family: Bacterial small subunit ribosomal RNA
Source: RNAcentral